ACCCUGUUCUUCAUCCUCAGGGACACCUUCCAGCAGUGCUUCAUCAAGUUCUUCACCCUCGUCAAGGGCUUCUGCAACCUUUACGCCAAGGAGAAGGGUCUAGAGAAAAUGACAGACUUAAAGAAUAGAUUCAGUCAUCUGUUGAAUCAGAUUGCCAAGAAAAAUAGAUGAUGCAUGGCACAUGCUGAUUGUGAGGUCAAGAAUUGGGCUUCUACUAGAUAGUUUAGCAUUACUUUUUAGAACAUCACUUCCAUGGUCACAUUAUGUUCUACAAUGGCUGAGACGUUGAUUGCAUGGUCAAUAAUUGGGCUACUACUAGAUAGUUUCACGAGCUGUAAUCUUUGGAUUGUGUUCUUUGUAAUGCCAAAUGCAACAGAGUUAAUAUUAUAUAUGAGAUCUUUAUGUUUA
Triticum urartu is the source of this 408-nucleotide non-coding RNA. Lineage: Eukaryota; Viridiplantae; Streptophyta; Magnoliopsida; Poales; Poaceae. The record is from RefSeq and is a predicted model, not a curated record.